This 73-nucleotide transfer RNA is filed under the name Gloeomargaritaceae cyanobacterium AH-226-B11. RNAcentral describes it as "tRNA-Thr". It matches the Rfam family "tRNA". From Rfam's summary of the family: Transfer RNA (tRNA) molecules are approximately 80 nucleotides in length. The record is from RNAcentral. Lineage: Bacteria; Bacillati; Cyanobacteriota; Cyanophyceae; Gloeomargaritales; Gloeomargaritaceae.
GCUGGUGUAGCUCAGUUGGUAGAGCAACUGAUUUGUAAUCAGUCGGUCGGGGGUUCAAGUCCCUUCACUAGCU